RNAcentral lists this ribosomal RNA (237 nucleotides) under uncultured bacterium. RNAcentral describes it as "partial 16S ribosomal RNA". It matches the Rfam family "Bacterial small subunit ribosomal RNA", at positions 28 to 263 of the family's 1533-position model. The record is from RNAcentral.
GACGAACGCUGGCGGCGUGCUUAACACAUGCAAGUCGAGCGGUAAGGCCCUUUCGGGGGUACGACGAGCGGCGAACGGGUGAGUAACACGUGGGUGACCUGCCCUCAGCUCUGGGAUAAGCCUGGGAAACCGGGUCUAAUACUGGAUAUGACUCCAUGACGCAUGUUGUGGGGUGGAAANCCUUGUGCGGCUGAGGAUGGGCCCGCGGCCUAUCAGCUUUGUUGGUGGGGGUGACGG